CCUGUGGCUCAGAUGGUAAAGCAUCUGCCUCCAAUGCAGGAGACCUAGGUUCAAUCCCAGGGUCAGGA
Molecule: transfer RNA, 68 nt
Filed under: Bos taurus (domestic cattle)
Lineage: Eukaryota; Metazoa; Chordata; Mammalia; Artiodactyla; Bovidae
Also listed under: 1 other name
Rfam family: tRNA
About the family: Transfer RNA (tRNA) molecules are approximately 80 nucleotides in length. Their secondary structure includes four short double-helical elements and three loops (D, anti-codon, and T loops).
Source: Rfam by way of RNAcentral